RNAcentral lists this ribosomal RNA (433 nucleotides) under uncultured bacterium. RNAcentral's name for it is "partial 16S ribosomal RNA". It matches the Rfam family "Bacterial small subunit ribosomal RNA", at positions 29 to 507 of the family's 1533-position model. The record is from RNAcentral.
AACGAACGCUGGCGGCAUGCCUAACACAUGCAAGUCGAACGAGACCUUCGGGUCUAGUGGCGCACGGGUGCGUAACGCGUGGGAACCUGCCCUUAGGUUCGGAAUAACUCCCCGAAAGGGGUGCUAAUACCGGAUAAUGUCUUCGGACCAAAGAUUUAUCGCCUUUGGGUGGGCCCGCGUUGGAUUGGCUAGUUGGUAGGGUAAAAGCUUACCAAGGCGACGAUCCAUAGCUGGUCUGAGAGGAUGAUCAGCAACACUGGGACUGAGACACGGCCCAGACUCCUACGGGAGGCAGCAGUGGGGAAUAUUGGACAAUGGGCGAAAGCCUGAUCCAGCAAUGCCGCGUGAGUGAUGAAGGCCUUAGGGUUGUAAAGCCCUUUUACCCGGGAUGAUAAUGACAGUACCGGGAGAAUAAGCUCCGGCUAACUCCGUG